RNAcentral lists this non-coding RNA (150 nucleotides) under Streptomyces natalensis. RNAcentral describes it as "SAM-I sequence". It matches the Rfam family "SAM riboswitch aptamer (S box leader)". Rfam says of the family: The SAM riboswitch is found upstream of a number of genes which code for proteins involved in methionine or cysteine biosynthesis in Gram-positive bacteria. The SAM riboswitch acts at the level of transcription termination control. The predicted structure consists of a complex stem-loop region followed by a single stem loop terminator region. The record is from RNAcentral. Lineage: Bacteria; Bacillati; Actinomycetota; Actinomycetes; Kitasatosporales; Streptomycetaceae.
CGCUCAUCCAGAGGGGCAGAGGGAUACGGCCCGUUGAAGCCCCGGCAACCCUCCAGCCGGUCUCCGCCGCGAUCAGCGCGCGCGAGGCUCCCGGCUAGGGAAGGUGCCAAAUCCGUCUCGUGGCGAGAUGCGUCGCGAGGAAGAUGAGGA